CCAGCACUUCGGGGGAAGGACUAUGGCAAGUCGAAAAUGAGUUAUCCGGACUAUACAGAAACUGAAUCAGGUCUUCAGUACAAGGACUUGCGAGUAGGAGAUGGCCCCAAACCGAAGGUAGGAGAGACCGUUGUGGUUGAUUGGGAUGGGUACACCACAGGAUCGUAGUGCCCCCAGAAUUGGGAUAUCCUGAGAAUGACUACAACAAGAGUGCCCCAAGGCCGAC
Malus domestica (apple) is the source of this 226-nucleotide non-coding RNA. Lineage: Eukaryota; Viridiplantae; Streptophyta; Magnoliopsida; Rosales; Rosaceae. The record is from RefSeq and is a predicted model, not a curated record.